UACCGGAAGGUGCACUUGGAUGG
RNAcentral lists this ribosomal RNA (23 nucleotides) under Occidozyga laevis. Its description in RNAcentral is "partial 12S small subunit ribosomal RNA". The record is from RNAcentral. Lineage: Eukaryota; Metazoa; Chordata; Amphibia; Anura; Dicroglossidae.